CCGCCCCCUUCGCCCCCUCCGCCGCGCCCCUGUCCCUAAUGCAGGUCAGAUGCUACUGGAACCCGCUGCCUCCCCUGGCACCCAGCCCUCAGGCCACCUAGUGUUGGAACUGAAAUGAUAAGUGGCAGCCCUCUCAUGGAAUAGCAUUGAUUUUUAAACCAUGGUGACCGAUGCAGGGCAGAGAAAGGAGAAGCCUCUCAGCACCCUCGUUUUCAGCCAUGGCCUUCCUGAGUCCAUUCAGGAAAACAAAAGCCCUGCAAUUAGAUGGGCCUUCUCUCCUUGGAAAGAACAAACAUCACCAUUAAACAUGACCCUGGACGGUGGAGAGCGAGGAAGGAUCUCACUCUCCAGCCCAAAUGACUAAUAGAAGAUUCCUGGUAGGAACGUGUGGCGCUCAGCCAGAAAGAGUCACCAUCCCAUGUUCCACUGAUGUUUGUUGUCUCUCACUGCCAGCUCCCAGUUCCUUUUACACCUGCGAUUGUAACCGGGCCUAUGUUAGAUGAAUCAUAAGGUGUUUGUUUUCCUUUAUCGUGGUCCUUGGCUUCCUCCAGGCAUGCCUGUUUGCACAUAGUCCUUUUAAUAGAAGGGAGUCCCUUGUCAUUAACUUUAUAUCCUGGCCCCAAGCCUCCUCACAUGAUUAAUGAACUUGUUUUUCUUUUAAAGAACAAUGAUCUUUAGGUUAGGCAGAUCUCUUUGAUGGCAUCCAGAAGUUUGAUCGGGCUGGGCCGAGGGACGCAAACAGCUUUGAUCAUGGGGGAUCUUACCUCCCACAUACUUACCUUACCCAUAGAGGCGCCAGCUGUGGUCCUGAACUGAUUCAGAAAUUUCAGUAUUCUGAAUUCUGUAUUUCUGAGGCCUUUAAAAAAAUGAUCCUUUGAUAUAUCUACUGAAAAGUUCUGGAAACAAUAAGUAUCCUUAGUAUCAUAUUAGGGUUACUAAAUAUCACUUCCCUCCAGAGAGAACCAGGGCUUUUUGGAGAAGGCUGAUUUUAUAAACUGAAUAAGAUAACCCUAGAAUAUCUCAUCACACCAGAAAGCAAGGAUGUUAUCAAAGACUUCUGAGGUCUUGUCAUAAGCUGGGGCAAAACGGAGACAAUUUAAACAUCAUUAAAGGCAGUAACUGCAAUGCCUCAAAACACUUCAAUUAUGUUGAAAUCUAUUUGCUCAUAAUGUUCUUUUUAAAAGUACAUUGAUUAUCUUUGAAGAAUGCUAAGAAGCCCAACUCAUUAUUUUUAAAAGCUGGUAAAGAAAGGAAAGGGAUCAAGCAUGUAUUAUCUUAACUUUCCUGUACAAACUAUACGUCAGUAUAAGCAAAUAGUAGAUAAAGGCGAGUUUCUCUUUGUAAAAGUAUUGCAGCUAAUAAAUGAAGGGACGAUAGAAUUAGAAUGUUGCCAUUUUACUUCCCUUAAUGAGUUAAUGAAUCUGGACACCGAAUGUACAUGGCUGAUAAUAUUAGAGGGAGAGGGAAAGAGAAACACCCUGACAUUCUAAGCCUUCGGAUGGAAAUCCGCAAUGCUACCCAUCUAUGACAUGUUAUCGCCAAACAAAACAAAACAAAAAAACCCUGAAUCUGAACAAGCCUGUACAUCACAGGUUAGCAAUCUGCCUUCUUGGGACCAAAUCUGGCCAACUGCCUGUUUUUAUAAAUAAAGUUUUAUUGAAACACAGCCAUAGCCAUUCGUUUAAGUCAUAGCAACAAAGACAGAAGGGCCCACAAAGACCAAAAUACUUGCUGUCUAACCCUUUUCAGUGAAAGUCUGCCAACCCCUGCUAUAGAUCAAAAGAAUCCCAGUACCCCUAUCAGUCUCUUGCAAUAGAUGGACCUUAUUCAGUCCUGAUUUGAACAAAAUGACAAAAUUGUUUAUGAGACAAUUAGAGAAAUUUGA
This 1885-nucleotide long non-coding RNA is filed under the name Homo sapiens (human). RNAcentral describes it as "HSALNT0273841". The record is from RNAcentral. Lineage: Eukaryota; Metazoa; Chordata; Mammalia; Primates; Hominidae.